This 932-nucleotide ribosomal RNA is filed under the name uncultured archaeon. Its description in RNAcentral is "bacterial SSU rRNA". It matches the Rfam family "Archaeal small subunit ribosomal RNA", at positions 1 to 921 of the family's 1478-position model. The record is from RNAcentral.
UUCCGGUUGAUCCUGCCGGACCCGACUGCUAUUUGGGUGAGAAUAAGCCAUGCGAGUUGAAUGGGAUACCUAAAGUUCCCAUAGCAAACUGCUCAGUAACACAUGAUCAACUUACCCUAUAGAGAAAAAUAACCUCGGGAAACUGAGGAUAAUGUUUCAUAAUUGAAUUGGCUUGGAAAAGUUUUUCAAUGAAAGGGAUAAAAAAAAUGGUUUUUAUCUGCUAUAGGAUAGGAUCGUGUUCGAUUAUGGUUGUUGGUGAGAUAAUGGCUCACCAAGCCGAUAAUCGAUAGGGGCCGUGAGAGCGGGAGCCCCGAGAUGGGUACUGAGACAACGACCCAGGCCUUACGAGGCGCAGCAGGCGCGGAACCUCCGCAAUACACGAAAGUGUGACGGGGUUACCCAAAGUGUUCAAUAGAACUGUGGUAGGUGAGUAAUGUCCCCUACUAGAAAGGAGAGGGCAAGGCUGGUGCCAGCCGCCGCGGUAAAACCAGCUCUUCAAGUGGUCGGGAUAAUUAUUGGGCUUAAAGUGUCCGUAGCCGGUUUAGUAAGUUCCUGGUAAAAUCGGGUAGCUUAACUAUCUGCAUGCUAGGAAUACUGCUAUACUAGAGGGCGGGAGAGGUCUGAGGUACUACAGGGGUAGGGGUGAAAUCUUAUAAUCCUUGUAGGACCACCAGUGGCGAAGGCGUCAGACUGGAACGCGCCUGACGGUGAGGGACGAAAGCCAGGGGAGCGAACCGGAUUAGAUACCCGGGUAGUCCUGGCCGUAAACGAUGCAUACUAGGUGAUGGUACGGCCAUGAGCCGUAUCAGUGCCGUAGGGAAACCGUUAAGUGUGCCGCCUGGGAAGUACGGUCGCAAGGCUAAAACUUAAAGGAAUUGGCGGGGGAGCACCACAAGGGGUGAAGCCUGCGGUUCAAUUGGACUCAACGCCGG